RNAcentral lists this ribosomal RNA (2785 nucleotides) under Salmonella enterica subsp. enterica serovar Enteritidis. RNAcentral's name for it is "partial 23S ribosomal RNA". It matches the Rfam family "Bacterial large subunit ribosomal RNA". The record is from RNAcentral. Lineage: Bacteria; Pseudomonadati; Pseudomonadota; Gammaproteobacteria; Enterobacterales; Enterobacteriaceae.
GGGUUGUGAGGUUAAGCGACUAAGCGUACACGGUGGAUGCCCUGGCAGUCAGAGGCGAUGAAGGGCGUGCUAAUCUGCGAUAAGCGCCGGUAAGGUGAUAUGAACCGUUAUAACCGGCGAUACCCGAAUGGGGAAACCCAGUGUGAUUCGUCACACUAUCAUUAACUGAAUCCAUAGGUUAAUGAGGCGAACCGGGGGAACUGAAACAUCUAAGUACCCCGAGGAAAAGAAAUCAACCGAGAUUCCCCCAGUAGCGGCGAGCGAACGGGGAGGAGCCCAGAGCCUGAAUCAGCAUGUGUGUUAGUGGAAGCGUCUGGAAAGGCGCGCGAUACAGGGUGACAGCCCCGUACACAAAAGCGCAUGUGCUGUGAGCUCGAUGAGUAGGGCGGGACACGUGGUAUCCUGUCUGAAUAUGGGGGGACCAUCCUCCAAGGCUAAAUACUCCUGACUGACCGAUAGUGAACCAGUACCGUGAGGGAAAGGCGAAAAGAACCCCGGCGAGGGGAGUGAAAAAGAACCUGAAACCGUGUACGUACAAGCAGUGGGAGCACCCUUUGGGUGUGACUGCGUACCUUUUGUAUAAUGGGUCAGCGACUUAUAUUCUGUAGCAAGGUUAACCGAAUAGGGGAGCCGGAGGGAAACCGAGUCUUAACCGGGCGUUAAGUUGCAGGGUAUAGACCCGAAACCCGGUGAUCUAGCCAUGGGCAGGUUGAAGGUUGGGUAACACUAACUGGAGGACCGAACCGACUAAUGUUGAAAAAUUAGCGGAUGACCUGUGGCUGGGGGUGAAAGGCCAAUCAAACCGGGAGAUAGCUGGUUCUCCCCGAAAGCUAUUUAGGUAGCGCCUCGUGAAUUCAUCUCCGGGGGUAGAGCACUGUUUCGGCUAGGGGGCCAUCCCGGCUUACCAACCCGAUGCAAACUGCGAAUACCGGAGAAUGUUAUCACGGGAGACACACGGCGGGUGCUAACGUCCGUCGUGAAGAGGGAAACAACCCAGACCGCCAGCUAAGGUCCCAAAGUCAUGGUUAAGUGGGAAACGAUGUGGGAAGGCCCAGACAGCCAGGAUGUUGGCUUAGAAGCAGCCAUCAUUUAAAGAAAGCGUAAUAGCUCACUGGUCGAGUCGGCCUGCGCGGAAGAUGUAACGGGGCUAAACCAUGCACCGAAGCUGCGGCAGCGACACUGUGUGUUGUUGGGUAGGGGAGCGUUCUGUAAGCCUGUGAAGGUGUGUCGUGAGGCAUGCUGGAGGUAUCAGAAGUGCGAAUGCUGACAUAAGUAACGAUAAAGCGGGUGAAAAGCCCGCUCGCCGGAAGACCAAGGGUUCCUGUCCAACGUUAAUCGGGGCAGGGUGAGUCGACCCCUAAGGCGAGGCCGAAAGGCGUAGUCGAUGGGAAACGGGUUAAUAUUCCCGUACUUGGUGUUACUGCGAAGGGGGGACGGAGAAGGCUAUGUUGGCCGGGCGACGGUUGUCCCGGUUUAAGCGUGUAGGUGUGUGUUCCAGGUAAAUCCGGUUCACUUUAACACUGAGGCGUGACGACGAGGCACUACGGUGCUGAAGCAACAAAUGCCCUGCUUCCAGGAAAAGCCUCUAAGCAUCAGGUAACAUCAAAUCGUACCCCAAACCGACACAGGUGGUCAGGUAGAGAAUACCAAGGCGCUUGAGAGAACUCGGGUGAAGGAACUAGGCAAAAUGGUGCCGUAACUUCGGGAGAAGGCACGCUGACACGUAGGUGAAGUGAUUUACUCAUGGAGCUGAAGUCAGUCGAAGAUACCAGCUGGCUGCAACUGUUUAUUAAAAACACAGCACUGUGCAAACACGAAAGUGGACGUAUACGGUGUGACGCCUGCCCGGUGCCGGAAGGUUAAUUGAUGGGGUCAGUGCAAGCGAAGCUCCUGAUCGAAGCCCCGGUAAACGGCGGCCGUAACUAUAACGGUCCUAAGGUAGCGAAAUUCCUUGUCGGGUAAGUUCCGACCUGCACGAAUGGCGUAAUGAUGGCCAGGCUGUCUCCACCCGAGACUCAGUGAAAUUGAACUCGCUGUGAAGAUGCAGUGUACCCGCGGCAAGACGGAAAGACCCCGUGAACCUUUACUAUAGCUUGACACUGAACAUUGAGCCUUGAUGUGUAGGAUAGGUGGGAGGCUUUGAAGUGUGGACGCCAGUCUGCAUGGAGCCGACCUUGAAAUACCACCCUUUAAUGUUUGAUGUUCUAACGUGGACCCGUUACCCGGGUUGCGGACAGUGUCUGGUGGGUAGUUUGACUGGGGCGGUCUCCUCCUAAAGAGUAACGGAGGAGCACGAAGGUUGGCUAAUCCUGGUCGGACAUCAGGAGGUUAGUGCAAUGGCAUAAGCCAGCUUGACUGCGAGCGUGACGGCGCGAGCAGGUGCGAAAGCAGGUCAUAGUGAUCCGGUGGUUCUGAAUGGAAGGGCCAUCGCUCAACGGAUAAAAGGUACUCCGGGGAUAACAGGCUGAUACCGCCCAAGAGUUCAUAUCGACGGCGGUGUUUGGCACCUCGAUGUCGGCUCAUCACAUCCUGGGGCUGAAGUAGGUCCCAAGGGUAUGGCUGUUCGCCAUUUAAAGUGGUACGCGAGCUGGGUUUAGAACGUCGUGAGACAGUUCGGUCCCUAUCUGCCGUGGGCGCUGGAGAACUGAGGGGGGCUGCUCCUAGUACGAGAGGACCGGAGUGGACGCAUCACUGGUGUUCGGGUUGUCAUGCCAAUGGCACUGCCCGGUAGCUAAAUGCGGAAGAGAUAAGUGCUGAAAGCAUCUAAGCACGAAACUUGCCCCGA